Molecule: long non-coding RNA, 220 nt
Filed under: Jatropha curcas
Lineage: Eukaryota; Viridiplantae; Streptophyta; Magnoliopsida; Malpighiales; Euphorbiaceae
Description: long non-coding RNA (JCUR_LNC001600)
Source: RNAcentral
CCCAGCACCACUGCCUUCCUUUCAUUUCUUCUUCUUCUUCUUCUUCUUCUUCUUCCCUUUCUUUUCUUUCUUUCCCUUUCUUCUUCUCUGCGAUUGUGUCUGUGUCGCGUCCCAACAGCUCCAGCAGAAACGCGAGCCACCAGCACGAGCUCAGCCACGUAGCGCCACCUCGCCGCUGGUCCACGCUGCAGUAGCUCCGCCAUCGCUGUCUCUCUCUCCN